CCUGGGAGAGAAUGCAUCUGUCUAAUCCCUGUUCUCUUUCUGUUGCCUAAAGGGGUCUUUGACACAUGGUGUUUAUAGAGCAAAUGAAUGAAGCCAAGGAAUGAAUGAAUGAGCUCUCCAUCGGAAUGGUGGGAGGAAGAGGCAGUGUCUACUUGGAGAAGUGGAAAAAAGUGGUAACUGAAGCAGGAUAUGCCAGAGAUCUCCACUUUAGCCACUGAGUGCAGGUGAAAAGGCUCUCAGAAGAAAAUCAACAGUAGCAAAGACAAAGGCUGCCUGGAUUCUGGACAUGUGCCUCUUGCUGUACGAUUGUGGGGACCCCAGAGAUCAUCUGUACGGGUGGAUCUGAUGCCCCACCUCCACACCUCGGUGUCCUGCAGUCCUGAGUUUCGAGGGAAAUGCAAUGGGCUCAAGACUCUACCAAAGAUGCCACAGUCUUUCCAAGGAAGGAGCUCUUGCGUAUGGCCCUCAGGCUUUGGAAGCCAGGUCUUCAGAUUACACCACUGAGCAGCCGCCUUGAUAGAGGCCACAGGAAACAUUCUGACUGGGACCACCCAGCGCAGUGACUCCUUCAUCCUUACUUCUGUGAAGAUGUGAUGGAAGCAAUACGUGUGCUACGUCACUUAGGGAAGAAUCUGGCUUGAGACCUCCCCUCCCUUCUUAUCAUCUUCUAUCUGUAUUAGCGCUGAUAGGCAUAAAGCUCUAGGGAGAAUCACCAGUCCAGCAAAACAAAGAGGUUGUUGAAGAAAUCUUAGUUCAGCAGGAGGCUAAACAUAAAGCAAGACAGACCUUUUUUUUUUUUUUUUUUUUUUUUAGUGGUACCAGGGAUCGAACUCACGACUGCCUGUUCACAAGGCAGGUGCUUAUGCCGCUGAGCUAAAUCCCCAAACCAAGACAGACCUUUUGAGGGAACUUCUAACCUGACUUGGAGUGGGUGACAGUCAAACACUAACGUAUUGGUCAGGGCUGCUAAAAGAAGCUACCGCAACCGGUGACUUACGAUGGAAAUGCAUUGUGUUACAAUUUGCAAGGCUAACAGUUUAAAAUUAAUGCGUGGGUGAGACCACGCGCACACUGAAACCUGAAGGCCUUUUAUCCUAGAUUGUUUUUGUGGUUGUUGUUAUUUUUAUUUUUUAUUAAUGUAUAUGCUGUUCAUAAUGUUUACAUCGCUUGUAGGAGGUUGGUAAGUGUACACGAAACACCACAGCACACAGCUAAUUUUGGUGCUUACUUUGGCAGCACAUAUACUAUUAAGAUUAAUUUUGUCAUUAAGACACAAAAACGUGAGCUGUCAGACCCACUUUUUCUUAGAAUAUUUCCAUUGAUGAAUUAUUAAUUUUAGUUUUAUGAGUUUUAUUCUAUUAAGCAGUG
This 1368-nucleotide long non-coding RNA is filed under the name Cavia porcellus (domestic guinea pig). Its description in RNAcentral is "lncRNA (ENSCPOG00000039787.1)". The record is from RNAcentral. Lineage: Eukaryota; Metazoa; Chordata; Mammalia; Rodentia; Caviidae.